UACGUAGGUGGCAAGCGUUAUCCGGAAUUAUUGGGCGUAAAGAGCGCGCAGGUGGUUGAUUAAGUCUGAUUUGAAAGCCCACGGCUUAACCGUGGAGGGUCAUUGGAAACUGGUCGACUUGAGUGCAGAAGAGGGAAGUGGAAUUCCAUGUGUAGCGGUGAAAUGCGUAGAGAUAUGGAGGAACACCAGUGGCGAAGGCGGCUUCCUGGUCUGUAACUGACACUGAGGCGCGAAAGCGUGGGGAGCAAACAGGAUUAGAUACCCGU
This 266-nucleotide ribosomal RNA is filed under the name uncultured prokaryote. RNAcentral's name for it is "partial 16S ribosomal RNA". It matches the Rfam family "Bacterial small subunit ribosomal RNA", at positions 524 to 789 of the family's 1533-position model. The record is from RNAcentral.